This 431-nucleotide ribosomal RNA is filed under the name uncultured Paraglomus. RNAcentral describes it as "eukaryotic LSU rRNA". It matches the Rfam family "Eukaryotic large subunit ribosomal RNA", at positions 1 to 428 of the family's 3401-position model. The record is from RNAcentral. Lineage: Eukaryota; Fungi; Glomeromycota; Glomeromycetes; Paraglomerales; Paraglomeraceae.
GGCCUCAAAUCAGACAAGAGUACCCGCUGAACUUAAGCAUAUCAAUAAGCGGAGGAAAAGAAACUAACAAGGAUUCCCCUAGUAACGGCGAGUGAAGCGGGAACAGCUCAAAUUUUAAAUCUGGCUGCUUUGUAGUCCGAGUUGUAAUUUGAAGGGGUCUUGCCGCUGGCAAAACGAUGGCACAAGUCCUCUGGAACGGGGCAUCGUAGAGGGUGAGAAUCCCGUCUCUGGUCAUCACGCGCUGGCAUACGGCAGGCAUCCGAAGAGUCGAGUUGUUUGGGAUUGCAGCUCCAAAUGGGUGGUAAACUCCAUCUAAGGCUAAAUAUUGGCGAGAGACCGAUAGCGAACAAGUACCGUGAGGGAAAGAUGAAAAGAACUUUGAAAAGAGAGUAAAACAGUACGUGAAAUUGUUGAAAGGGAAACGAUUGAAG